GACGAACGCUGGCGGCGUGCUUAACACAUGCAAGUCGAACGGAAAGGCCUCUUUCGGGGGGUACUCGAGUGGCGAACGGGUGAGUAACACGUGGGUAACCUGCCCUUGACUUUGGGAUAACUUCAGGAAACUGGGGCUAAUACCGGAUAGGAGCUCCUGCUGCAUGGUGGGGGUUGGAAAGUUUCGGCGGUUGGGGAUGGACUCGCGGCUUAUCAGCUUGUUGGUGGGGUAGUGGCUUACCAAGGCUUUGACGGGUAGCCGGCCUGAGAGGGUGACCGGCCACAUUGGGACUGAGAUACGGCCCAGACUCCUACGGGAGGCAGCAGUGGAGAAUAUUGCACAAUGGGUGGAAGCCUGAUGCAGCAACGCCGUGUGCGGGAGGACGGCCUUCGGGUUGUAAACCGCUUUCGCUCAUGACGAAGCUUUGUGUGACGGUAGUGGGUAAAGAAGCACCGGCUAACUACGUG
Molecule: ribosomal RNA, 467 nt
Filed under: uncultured bacterium
Lineage: Bacteria
Description: partial 16S ribosomal RNA
Rfam family: Bacterial small subunit ribosomal RNA
Source: RNAcentral